GAUGAACGCUGACAGAAUGCUUAACACAUGCAAGUCAACUUGAACUUCGGUUUGGGUGGCGGACGGGUGAGUAACGCGUAAAGAACUUGCCUCACAGAUAGGGACAACAUUUGGAAACGAAUGCUAAUACCUGAUAUUAUGAUUAUAUGGCAUCGUAUAAUUAUGAAAGCUAUAUGCGCUGUGAGAGAGCUUUGCGUCCCAUUAGCUAGUUGGAGAGGUAACGGCUCACCAAGGCGAUGAUGGGUAGCCGGCCUGAGAGGGUGAUCGGCCACAAGGGGACUGAGACACGGCCCUUACUCCUACGGGAGGCAGCAGUGGGGAAUAUUGGACAAUGGACCAAGAGUCUGAUCCAGCAAUUCUGUGUGCACGAUGAAGUUUUUCGGAAUGUAAAGUGCUUUCAGUUGGGAAGAAAAAAAUGACGGUACCAGCAGAAGAAGUGACGGCUAAAUACGUG
This 454-nucleotide ribosomal RNA is filed under the name uncultured bacterium. RNAcentral's name for it is "partial 16S ribosomal RNA". It matches the Rfam family "Bacterial small subunit ribosomal RNA", at positions 28 to 507 of the family's 1533-position model. The record is from RNAcentral.